This 467-nucleotide long non-coding RNA is filed under the name Spirodela polyrhiza (greater duckweed). RNAcentral's name for it is "long non-coding RNA (SPOL_LNC001640)". Lineage: Eukaryota; Viridiplantae; Streptophyta; Magnoliopsida; Alismatales; Araceae. The record is from RNAcentral.
CCGCUGUGCGGCUGCCUAGGCGAGGAGCUUCUCCGGCCAGCCUCCGGGCCUCCAACUCGACCCGCCGCUUCUGAAUCUCGCUCCAUCUCUCUCUCUCUCUUCUCGCUCCUCCUCUUCCUCGCUGCAUCAGAAGUGUCCCCCGGCCCCCGGAGGGGGAGACGGGAGACGGGGAGGGGGCUCUGCUGCUGUUCCACAUUCCGGGAUCUCUGGAGUCGGAGCUCGUGGGAAUUCUCGGCGCCGUCUGGUCGUUCUUCAAGCUCCGGCGGCUCGGAGGGUCGGAAUCUGGAUGUAGAAACCCGCCAGGGCAAGGUGAUCGAUCCAUCCCGUCCCCACCCGCCCUCAGAUGUUUUUUCCAGGGAGGGGAAGGUGGGAGGAAGAGGAGCAGGAGGAGGAAUGUGCUUCUAGGAGGCCCGUGUCGUCUGCCUUAAUGCCCUGGAUUUGGUCGUUGGAGGCCAGGGGAGCGAACC